AGUUUUUUCCAUUUUUCAUUUUAAAACAUGAACAGUACAAAAAAGAUGGGCGAAGCACACAAAUUGUAAAACAUUGCGACAUCCAUGAGCUUAUGGAAAGUGCUGCAUGUGUGGUUUCUUUGCUGCCUCACAAAUGCAUGUGUGGAUGUAGUCCUUGAUAAUAUCAUUGAUGUGUGUUAUUCUUUUUUCAGGCAAAGGGCAGAAUUGUGGUAGUGCCAGGAGGUGGCAUCACGGAGCGCAACCUGCAGAGGAUUCUGGAAGGCUCCACUGCUUCUGAGUUUCACUGCUCUGCUCGCUCAGCUCGGGACUCAGGAAUGAAGUUCAGAAAUCCCAACGUUGC
This is a non-coding RNA of Cyanistes caeruleus (blue tit), 340 nucleotides long. The record is from RefSeq and is a predicted model, not a curated record. NCBI's taxonomy places the organism in Eukaryota, Metazoa, Chordata, Aves, Passeriformes, Paridae.